This 274-nucleotide ribosomal RNA is filed under the name uncultured bacterium. RNAcentral describes it as "partial 16S ribosomal RNA". It matches the Rfam family "Bacterial small subunit ribosomal RNA", at positions 523 to 796 of the family's 1533-position model. The record is from RNAcentral.
AUACGGAGGGUGCGAGCGUUAAUCGGAAUUACUGGGCGUAAAGCGCGCGUAGGCGGCUAUUUAAGUUGGAUGUGAAAUCCCCGGGCUCAACCUGGGAACUGCAUCCAAAACUGGGUAGCUAGAGUACAGUAGAGGGGGGUAGAAUUUCAGGUGUAGCGGUGAAAUGCGUAGAGAUCUGAAGGAAUACCAGUGGCGAAGGCGGCCCCCUGGACUGAUACUGACGCUGAGGUGCGAAAGCGUGGGGAGCAAACAGGAUUAGAUACCCCGGUAGUCC